Molecule: ribosomal RNA, 1247 nt
Filed under: Cantharellus lewisii
Lineage: Eukaryota; Fungi; Basidiomycota; Agaricomycetes; Cantharellales; Hydnaceae
Description: eukaryotic LSU rRNA
Rfam family: 5.8S ribosomal RNA (bases 746-941)
Source: RNAcentral
CCUGAUGAUAAGUAAAGUCUCCCCGUGUGUAGUCCAUUGGACUGGAUGCGCGGUGGUGGACGGGCCCGGUCUUCCUUGGUGGGGGAGGCCUGGGUUAAGUAAGGCCCCUUGGCUUUGGGGGCGGUGACUAGGCUGGGACGGUGCACUGACAAAACCGUUUUUUUCCAGUUAUAGAGCCGUUUCCAGUCGGUCGGGCCAGGGCAUGUCCAGUCCCAUAAUUGGUGGUGGGGCGCCCCUCCUUGGCUCUGAGGCCUUGUCGCCCUCAGUGUCCGUCGGAGUCUCUAAGAUUGGCCUUGUGCCAAUAACAUGCCAGCGAAGACGUCCUUGUUCACUCCAUUCUAUAUUAUAUUAUAUUAUACCUUACAGGACAAGACCUAGCUGGUCCGCAUGUGGCGGGAUGACUUGGGUUUGGGAGAGGGGUUCCAGAAGGAGACUGGGUAGCAAUAGAGGUGGCGUUGCUAGUGCGCUGCUGAGGAGCAACCGGCCAGUUGGUCCGCGCUACUUGGUUGAUCUCUGGACUCUUGUUUUGGAUGUAAGGUAGGCAUCCACAAGUGCGUUGGCGUGCUCCACGCUCCACUCCCGCCAUGGCCUAAUCAUCUGAAGUUAUGGGCCUCGACGAUUGAUGUGAGUCGAGGGGGCCAUCUGUUUGGCCUGGCAUGGACCUAAACCUACACGUGGUGCCCCUGUUCUUGGCUGAUUAGGUCUAUAACAUCAAGCCGAGUUUUUCCAAUGGGUUUAUCGAGAUAACUCUCAACAAUGGAUCUCUAGGCUCUUGCAUCGAUGAAGAACGCAGUGAACUGCGAUAACUGGUGUGAGUUGCACGGCACUUCUAAUCUAACACCAAGCGAAUCAUCGAGUCUUUGAACGCAAACGGCACCCUUCCAGUCCAUUCCAACGCGGUGGCGGAGGAUGAAGACAAGGGUAUCUCUGGCUGAGGGUAAUGGAAACUGAUCCAGUGUGCCACACUGGUCACUGGGGAUUGGGCUUGCUUGGGGCAGUAUUGCUCUGGCUUGCCUUAAAAUCAAGCGUUGUGUGGAUUGGACUUUUCAAGCAUGCAUUGGGGACGCAGGCUCUGGCCGCUGACCGUCAUUAGGUGCUUUGAUUGGGGUUUUUCAGUCUAGCCAAUAUAAGGCUGGGUUGGAGACUUUGGGGCUGCAUUUGAUGACCGUGCAUGGUGCAUGAUUGGACCUCUUCAACUAGCGAUUUAUCAUCUGAUAUCAUCAUUAUCCAUGGGUACCUCAGUCAAG